AUUAAUCAAAAGGAAGUCAUGUCUGACCAAACUGAUUGCCUUCUAUGAUGAGUUAACUGGUUCUAUGGAUGCAGGGAACUUUAACACGGCUUUUGAUACUGUCUCCCAGAACAUUCUUGCAAACAAGCUGAGGAAGUAUGGAUUGGAUAAAUGGACUGUAAGGUGGAGAGAAAGCUGUCUGGAUCAUUGGGCUCAAUGAGUACCAAUUAAUGGCUUGAGGUCUAGUUGGCAACCAGUAUCAAGUGGUGUACCCCAAGGGCUCUCAGAAAAAUAAAAGGCAUAUCAUUUGUGUACACCCCUGAAACAUGGGAGAUGCUGAAUUUCAGCCGAUUUUGGAUUUUAAACUUCAUUGCAGAACAACAAGGAAGUUUUUUUUGCCUCCCUGCUUGCCAUCUGACACCUCCAGAGAAGGAAUGCUACCUGAUCAACACAUCAAAGAGCUACUCAACACAGCUCACAAAGACAAAGACACUCUCAUGGACCCAGAGGCACAGACUUCCAUCUUCAGCUCCCUCUGUGCAAAAAUUAAGUUUAUUUCCUACCCAUGGGGACUUUUUACCAUCGACACUUUUCCCAGAGCCUGACAAAGGGACUUUGGUCCUGAAAGCUUGCAGAAAAGGACAAUUUUCUUGCCAUUUUCCAGUUGGUCUAAUAAAAGUGUAACAGGA
This is a long non-coding RNA of Alligator mississippiensis (American alligator), 668 nucleotides long. RefSeq lists it as uncharacterized. The record is from RefSeq and is a predicted model, not a curated record. The transcript has 2 exons. NCBI's taxonomy places the organism in Eukaryota, Metazoa, Chordata, Crocodylia, Alligatoridae.